CGCCCGCCGCGCGCGGCGGGCGGGGCGGGGGCACGGGGGGCCUACGGGAGGCAGCAGUGGGGAAUUUUGGACAAUGGGCGCAAGCCUGAUCCAGCCAUUCCGCGUGAGUGAAGAAGGCCUUCGGGUUGUAAAGCUCUUUCGCGAGGGAAGAAAACUUAACUACUAACAUUAGUUGAGGCUGACGGUACCUUGAUAAGAAGCACCGGCUAACUACGUGCCAGCAGCCGCGGUAAUA
Molecule: ribosomal RNA, 235 nt
Filed under: uncultured bacterium
Lineage: Bacteria
Description: partial 16S ribosomal RNA
Rfam family: Bacterial small subunit ribosomal RNA
Source: RNAcentral